CCUACGGGCGGCAGCAGUAGGGAAUCUUUCACAAUGGGCGAAAGCCUGAUGGAGCAACGCCGCGUGCAGGAUGAAGGCCUUCGGGUUGUAAACUGCUUUUAUAAGCGAGAAAUAUGAUGGUAACUUAUGAAUAAGGAUCGGCUAACUACGUGCCAGCAGCCGCGGUCAUACGUAGGAUCCGAGCAUUAUCCGGAGUGACUGGGUGUAAAGAGUUGCGUAGGUGGCAUAAUAAGUAGCUAGUGAAAUCUGGUGGCUCAACCAUUCAGACUAUUAGCUAAACUGUUAAGCUCGAGACCGUUAGGGGUAACUGGAAUUUCUAGUGUAGGAGUGAAAUCCGUAGAUAUUAGAAGGAACACCAAUAGCGUAGGCAGGUUGCUGGGACGGUUCUGACACUAAGGCACGAAAGCGUAGGGAGCAAACGGGAUUAGAUUCCCCAGUAGUC
RNAcentral lists this ribosomal RNA (442 nucleotides) under uncultured bacterium. Its description in RNAcentral is "partial 16S ribosomal RNA". It matches the Rfam family "Bacterial small subunit ribosomal RNA", at positions 338 to 795 of the family's 1533-position model. The record is from RNAcentral.